GAUGAACGCUGGCGGCGUGCCUAAUACAUGCAAGUCGAGCGAACAGACGAGGAGCUUGCUCCUCUGACGUUAGCGGCGGACGGGUGAGUAACACGCGGAUAACCUACCUAUAAGACUGGGAUAACUUCGGGAAACCGGAGCUAAUACCGGAUAAUAUAUUGAACCGCACGGUUCAAUAGUGAAAGACGGUUUUGCUGUCACUUAUAGAUGGAUCCGCGCCGCAUUAGCUAGUUGGUAAGGUAACGGCUUACCAAGGCAACGAUGCGUAGCCGACCUGAGAGGUUGAUCGGCCACACUGGAACUGAGACACGGUCCAGACUCCUACGGGAGGCAGCAGUAGGGAAUCUUCCGCAAUGGGCGAAAGCCUGACGGAGCAACGCCGCGUGAGUGAUGAAGGUCUUCGGAUCGUAAAACUCUGUUAUUAGGGAAGAACAAAUGUGUAAGUAACUAUGCACGUCUUGACGGUACCUAAUCAGAAAGCCACGGCUAACUACGUG
This 497-nucleotide ribosomal RNA is filed under the name uncultured bacterium. Its description in RNAcentral is "partial 16S ribosomal RNA". It matches the Rfam family "Bacterial small subunit ribosomal RNA", at positions 28 to 507 of the family's 1533-position model. The record is from RNAcentral.